RNAcentral lists this long non-coding RNA (285 nucleotides) under Prunus persica (peach). RNAcentral's name for it is "long non-coding RNA (PPER_LNC000521)". The record is from RNAcentral. Lineage: Eukaryota; Viridiplantae; Streptophyta; Magnoliopsida; Rosales; Rosaceae.
UUUCUCUUGUUUUUUGUUUUAUUUUUCUUCCUGAAGUAUACAAUAAUGCACAUGGGGUGGGAAAAGAAUGAGGACCCUUAGUGGUUAGUUUAAGCCAAUGUUGUGAUUUACUUUCAAACAUUUGAAUAUGCUAAAUAUUCAGAUAUAGUUUUUACAUCUCUAUAACCUGUAGUGCAGCUUAAUAAAUUAGUUUUCUUUUUGUUACUGUAUAUUUCUAAAGUGAAAGGAUGACUUUAAUUUUAGGGUUCUUUGGUAUGUGAGAGUUUGUGAUCAAAUAUAUGUAUG